GGUAUGGGAUGAGCUUGCGUCCGAUUAGCUAGUUGGCGGGGCAACGGCCCACCAAGGCGACGAUCGGUAGCCGGCCUGAGAGGGUGAUCGGCCACAUUGGGACUGAGAUACGGCCCAGACUCCUACGGGAGGCAGCAGUAGGGAAUAUUGCGCAAUGGGGGGAACCCUGAUGCAGCAACGCCACGUGUGGGAAGAAGCAUUUCGGUGUGUAAACCACUGUCAUGAGGGAAUAAGGCCUAUUUUCGGAUAGGAUUGAAUGUACCUUGAGAGGAAGCACCGGCAAACUUCGUGCCAGCAGCCGCGGUAAUACGAGGGGUGCAAGCGUUGUUCGGAAUUACUGGGCGUAAAGGGAGCGUAGGCGGAGAUUCAAGCGGAUUGUACAAUCCCGGGGCCCAACCCCGGCUCUGCAGUCCGAACUGGAUCUCUUGGAUAGUUCAGGGGCAGGC
Molecule: ribosomal RNA, 446 nt
Filed under: uncultured bacterium
Lineage: Bacteria
Description: bacterial SSU rRNA
Rfam family: Bacterial small subunit ribosomal RNA
Source: RNAcentral